This 1095-nucleotide ribosomal RNA is filed under the name Psammomacrostomum sp. 7 JNB-2019. Its description in RNAcentral is "partial large subunit ribosomal RNA". It matches the Rfam family "Eukaryotic large subunit ribosomal RNA", at positions 67 to 936 of the family's 3401-position model. Lineage: Eukaryota; Metazoa; Platyhelminthes; Macrostomidae. The record is from RNAcentral.
AUUUAGGAUUUCCUUUAGUAACGGCGAGCGAACGGGAAAUAGCCCAGCACCGAAUCUCACAGCAUGCGCUGCUGAGAAAUGUGGUGUUUAGGUCAUUCUUUGCAUCUGUUGCACUCUUUCAAGUCCACCUGAUUGUGGCUCGAGCCCAUAGAGGGUGUAAGGCCCGUAGAGAGAGUGUAGCGCGGUGCCCGGAAUGUACCUGCGAGUCGGCUUGUUUGGGAAUGCAGGCCAAAGCGGGUGGUAAACUCCAUCCAAGGCUAAAUACUGACACGAGUCCGAUAGCGGACAAGUACCGUGAGGGAAAGUUGAAAAGAACUUUGAAGAGAGAGUUAAAUAGUACGUGAAGCCGCUCAGAGGCAAACGGGUGGUGCUCAAGUCAGGACGUUGGGAAUUCAGCCAGUUUCAGUCUGUGCAUUCAGUGUCGUACGUUGAUCUUUAUCGACAACUGCGGUGCUAAGUGUGUGGACACUGGUGUAUUUUCCCAGUCGUCUUAGCCACGACCGGCGACGCUGUUCUAGUUGGCGACUAGUGGAAGGUGCCGCGUCUGCGGAUGCGCGUUAUAGACAUUGGUGCUAACAACUAGCAGAACGCUGGAGAUUGCGCGGUGCCCGCCCUUUGGGCUCGCACGGCUAGUCGGGCUUGGUUUGACGUUGUUUGCACUGGUUAAUCAGUUCAUGCGACGCUUCGAAUUAGUCUUAUAGGCUGGUUUGCUGCGAGUGUUUGGCGCCUACAGUCAGUGGUCUUACAUUGGGUAGACUACCCGACCCGUCUUGAAACACGGACCAAGGAGUCUAACAUGUGCGCGAGUCAUGGGGACGGUUAUACGAAACCCAAAGGCGCAGUGAAAGUAAAGGCUUGCCUUGUAGUGAGCUGAAGUGGGAUCUUGGUUAGUGCUAAGCGCACCACUGGCCCGUCCUAUCUGUCGGCUAGCAAUAGUUGUCAGUGGGACGGAGCAAGAGCGUACACGUUGGGACCCGAAAGAUGGUGAACUAUGCUUGCGCAGCUCGAAGUCAGUGGAAACACUGAUGGAGGAGCGCAGCGUUUCUGACGUGCAAAUCGAUCGUCAAACGUGAGUAUAGGGGCGAAAGACUAAUC